UUCUGUGUGUUUUUGUUAUAGUGAUUAGCAGAAACAAAUAGUCCUUAAAUUCCUAGAGAUCAAGACUCUUGAAAACGUAUGGUUGGUUGAUGAAGUAACUUGAAAAAAUAUAUGACUAGCCAGUUAUCUGAUUUGACCAACAUUCAAGAUCUCAUCUUGAAAAAGCUUGUGAGUUAUCAGAAGGAAGACCUGGAAGAUGUAGCUGCUCCCAAACUUCAGAACCUCAUGGUUGAGUGCAAUGACCUGAAAGGAGCUGAACCAAAUGCACCGACCAGCCCAAUAGCCAG
Long non-coding RNA from Rosa chinensis, 287 nucleotides. RefSeq lists it as uncharacterized. Lineage: Eukaryota; Viridiplantae; Streptophyta; Magnoliopsida; Rosales; Rosaceae. The transcript has 3 exons. The record is from RefSeq and is a predicted model, not a curated record.